This 127-nucleotide ribosomal RNA is filed under the name Ligula intestinalis. RNAcentral describes it as "partial 5.8S ribosomal RNA". It matches the Rfam family "5.8S ribosomal RNA", at positions 30 to 154 of the family's 154-position model. From Rfam's summary of the family: 5.8S ribosomal RNA (5.8S rRNA) is a component of the large subunit of the eukaryotic ribosome. It is transcribed by RNA polymerase I as part of the 45S precursor that also contains 18S and 28S rRNA. The record is from RNAcentral. Lineage: Eukaryota; Metazoa; Platyhelminthes; Cestoda; Diphyllobothriidea; Diphyllobothriidae.
GUGUCGAUGAAGAGCGCAGCCAACUGUGUGAAUUAAUGUGAAUCGCAGACUGCUUUGAACAUCGACCUCUUGAACGCACAUUGCGGCCGUAAGCUUGCCUACGGCCACGUCUGGCCGAGGGUCGGCU